GAUGAACGCUGGCGGCGUGCCUAAUACAUGCAAGUCGAGCGAACGGACGAGAAGCUUGCUUUUCUGAUGUUAGCGGCGGACGGGUGAGUAACACGUGGAUAACCUACCUAUAAGACUGGGAUAAUUUCGGGAAACCGGAGCUACUACCGGAUAAUAUUUUGAACCGCAUGGUUCAAAAGUGAAAGACGGUCUUGCUGUCACUUAUAGAUGGAUCCGCGCUGCAUUAGCUAGUUGGUAAGGUAACGGCACACCAAGGCAACGAUGCGUAGCCGACCUGAGAGGAGGAUCAGCCACACUGGAACGGGGACACGGUCCAGACGCCGAAGGGAGGCAGCAGUGGGGAAUAUUGGACAAUGGGCGCAAGCCUGAGCCAGCCAUACCGCGUGGGUGAAGAAGGCCUUCGGGUUGUAAAGCCCUUUUGUUGGGAAAGAAAAGCAGCAGGUUAAUACCCCGCUGUUCUGACGGUACCCAAAGAAUAAGCACGGGCUAACUUCGUG
RNAcentral lists this ribosomal RNA (497 nucleotides) under uncultured bacterium. Its description in RNAcentral is "partial 16S ribosomal RNA". It matches the Rfam family "Bacterial small subunit ribosomal RNA", at positions 28 to 507 of the family's 1533-position model. The record is from RNAcentral.